UUGAGCCGGGUGCGGAGUGAUCCGCACGCCCGGUUCUUAGGGGGCGGCGGGGCAGCAAUGCCCCGCUGCUACCCGAC
RNAcentral lists this non-coding RNA (77 nucleotides) under Rhizobium sp. BK049. The record is from RNAcentral. Lineage: Bacteria; Pseudomonadati; Pseudomonadota; Alphaproteobacteria; Hyphomicrobiales; Rhizobiaceae.